UGCAAAGAAGGAACAGGUUAGCUACUAUGGC
This 31-nucleotide non-coding RNA is filed under the name Rattus norvegicus (Norway rat). Lineage: Eukaryota; Metazoa; Chordata; Mammalia; Rodentia; Muridae. The record is from RNAcentral.